UGAUCCGUGACAGAGCGAGCAGAGACGCCAUUUGUUUUCUGCGGGGCUCCGCCGCGGCGACUGCUGUUCACACUCGGCUCUCUGGUGGGGGAGGGAGGUCUCGAACAGCGAGCAGAGAGAAAAGAAAGCGGAAGUCACUUCGAACCGACGUGUGUUGAUGGAUGGUCUACUCGGUUUGGCUAUGGACUUACAUGAAUAAACAUAUCGGGCCGGUGUUAGCUGUGUGAACUUCAAAAGCAAACCUUUGAAUAUGACCGGCCCUCGUUCCCUCUCUUGGAGUCUACAUUUGUCAAUCAAAUGUUUGGCAGCUUAAACAAGACUGAGCGAGGCCCACACUGAAGCCAGUCUUGUUCCGGCGUUGGCUGACAAUUCAAGGCUGCCGCUGUACUGAACAGCUUGCGAGGAUUAGUAUUUCAAUGUGAAGCAGUGUUGAAAAAUGAGCACGUAUGCACGGUCAUAUUUUUGGAUGAAUAAACAUCUCAACUCUUCUGAGACGCUAUAACAGACAUGACUUCCCAACUUGUUCCGUUUUCCAUGCCAGUGCAUGGUUACUGCAAACCUAUUUUUCUGAAUGUAUCUUAGUGUUGUGGAGUAUCAGUCCAAUAUGCAAUCUCCUUUUCGGAUUUGCUCCAGAGACACUUUGGACUCAUUUUGGAGACUAAAGUACGUUCACCAGCUACUUUCUAACUUUAUCUAUCUGGGCAAGUAGUGUACAGUGUUUUUAAUUUUAGUUUUAUGAAAACAACAUUGAUGACGAUUGGUGAGUGUGAACCAAAACCAUAAAGUUUCCAGCCUCAAAAUCAAAUCCGCUAAAGAAAUGGAAGAUGCUAAAAUGCGCCGGAGAGGUGAGAGGAUCUUCAGAGUUACUCUCAAAUACAAGUAAGCAAUAAUGCGAUCUAUAGUUAAUAUAAAAAUAUAGAUUAUUAGAGAUGUCACAGCCACAGGCACUGCACUACGGUGUCAGGGCUGAUCCAGGCUUAUUUGAAAGGAUCGGUGUAAUGAAAAUCCCAUCUUCCU
Molecule: long non-coding RNA, 1017 nt
Organism: Gasterosteus aculeatus aculeatus (three-spined stickleback)
Lineage: Eukaryota; Metazoa; Chordata; Actinopteri; Perciformes; Gasterosteidae
Source: RefSeq, a predicted model, not a curated record